CACCAGAGACUCGCGCAGAGAGUUCGUGAGCACGGGCCUGCCGCGCAGAAACAGACGGCGUCGUCUCACCCGGAAGCCCGUCACUCGGGACGCCCCGGGCUGAAUGGGGCAUCGAGGAACCAUGAAGAGAUUCAAGUCACCUGAUGUCCAGAGCAGAUCCCAUAAAUGAUGGUUUGCGGUGUUCAGCACUGGCAGCUGUGUAAGGCGGCUGAGGUUCAGAUUCGUUCCAGUAUUUGUCUCGUUCGAUGUGAGGAACCAGAUCAAACAUCUCAUCCACUGACAGCAAAGACACCUGGGAAACAAAACGAAACAUUUCAUGUAACUGCACGCUUCUGGCCUGAAGUAAACCUCCAGUCUGUGUUUGACUAGUGGCUAAUGUUUCAUCAAUAUAUUUUUUUAUGUAUAUAAACGUUCAUUUAUUGGAAUAUUUUUUUGUAUAAAACUGUAUUAAUUAAUUAAUUUGCUUUAUUUUAUUUUAUACUAAAUUUUUAAAUGGGCCUUGUAACUUUGUCUCAUUUAAGUUUAGCCAGGUUACAGUUGUUCUGCUGUAUUACUGGUAAGACUUGCUGGCUAAUGACUUCAGUUUGGGCAACAAUAGGGAGCAUAAAUGUUUGUUUAUGUCGUUGCUUUGAAAGCGUCUAUAGAACAUGUUUAAACACAUCAACUGUCAUAAACAAACAGACGUU
Long non-coding RNA from Triplophysa dalaica, 686 nucleotides. RefSeq lists it as uncharacterized. The transcript is spliced from 2 exons. The record is from RefSeq and is a predicted model, not a curated record. NCBI's taxonomy places the organism in Eukaryota, Metazoa, Chordata, Actinopteri, Cypriniformes, Nemacheilidae.